This 461-nucleotide ribosomal RNA is filed under the name uncultured Methylomirabilota bacterium. Its description in RNAcentral is "bacterial SSU rRNA". It matches the Rfam family "Bacterial small subunit ribosomal RNA", at positions 976 to 1434 of the family's 1533-position model. The record is from RNAcentral. Lineage: Bacteria; Methylomirabilota (SeqCode).
UGGGCUUGACAUCCCACGAACCUUCCCGAAAGGGUUGGGUGCCCGCAAGGGAGCGUGGAGACAGGUGGUGCAUGGCUGUCGUCAGCUCGUGUCGUGAGAUGUUGGGUUAAGUCCCGCAACGAGCGCAACCCUCACCCCUUGUUGCCACCGGGUAAAGCCGAGCACUCUAGGGGAACUGCUAGCGUCAAGCUGGAGGAAGGCGGGGAUGACGUCAAGUCAUCAUGCCCCUUACGCCCUGGGCUACACACGUGCUACAAUGGCCGGUACAAAGGGAUGCAAGGCCGCGAGGUCGUGCUAACCCCAAAAAACCGGUCUAAGUUCAGAUUGCAGUCUGCAACUCGACUGCAUGAAGGAGGAAUCGCUAGUAAUCGCGCAUCAGCACGGCGCGGUGAAUACGUUCCCGGGCCUUGUACACACCGCCCGUCACACCACGAAAGCCGGCUGUACUCGAAGUCGCUGAG